AGCUCCAAGAAUACACGGAGGAGGUGGCCCGGGUCGGCGUCGGCGCCAUCCGGCGUGGGCCAUAGGCCCGCUUCCAAGUGCAUCUGCGCGCCGGCCACCCACGUCGGGUCCUUCAAGUGCCGCUUCCACCGCACCAACUCCCAGGGCCACAGCCACGGCCAGGGCCAGGGAAGCCGCAUUUCUUCGCCCCCUUCACCAGCCGCGGCCAACGCGGUGCCACGGCACCCGGCCUUGCCGUCCUCGUCCACUGGCACCGUCGCGAUCCAAUGA
This 270-nucleotide ribosomal RNA is filed under the name Triticum aestivum (bread wheat). RNAcentral's name for it is "partial small subunit ribosomal RNA". The record is from RNAcentral. Lineage: Eukaryota; Viridiplantae; Streptophyta; Magnoliopsida; Poales; Poaceae.